Otolemur garnettii (small-eared galago) is the source of this 109-nucleotide non-coding RNA. NCBI's taxonomy places the organism in Eukaryota, Metazoa, Chordata, Mammalia, Primates, Galagidae. The record is from Rfam.
AAUUUAGGAGUAAAUGCAGUUAUGUGACAGGCACACAGCGGAAGGCCACAUCCCAUCGCACUGUUAAGCACACUUUGACCUCUAAGGCACUUCCUGCAGUUCCCAUCAG